Epinephelus lanceolatus (giant grouper) is the source of this 387-nucleotide non-coding RNA. Lineage: Eukaryota; Metazoa; Chordata; Actinopteri; Perciformes; Serranidae. The record is from RefSeq and is a predicted model, not a curated record.
GCAGCACCGUCCCCUGUGAGUGUGGUGAGAAAAGGUCACACAGGGAAGAGCAGCAUCGCUCUUUCUUGGGCAGAGCCUGACCGCCCCAAUGGCAUCAUCCUGGAGUACGAGAUCAAGUAUUUUGAGAAGGAGCAGGACUCCAGUUACACCAUUAUAAAAUCCAAGGAGACAGAGAUGGUGGUGGAAGGCCUGAAGCCCUCUUCAGCCUACAUCUUUCAGGUGCGAGCCAGGACCUCAGCAGGCUAUGGCGCAUUUAGCCGACGUUUUGAAUUCCAGACCAGCCCUUACUUGACUGCAACCAGCGAGCGUGCUCAGGCUUCGAUAGUAGCAGUGGCCAUCACGUUGGCUCUGGUCCUACUGGCGGUAGUCGCUGGAUUUCUGCUCAGC